Molecule: ribosomal RNA, 672 nt
Filed under: uncultured bacterium
Lineage: Bacteria
Description: bacterial SSU rRNA
Rfam family: Bacterial small subunit ribosomal RNA
Source: RNAcentral
UAGAGUUUGAUCAUGGCUCAGGAUGAACGCUGGCGAGAUGCCUUAUACAUGCAAGUUGUACGAGAAUUUUUAAUUCAAGUAGCGGACGGGUGAGUAACACGUAAGAAUUUGCCUUUAGGAGGGGGAUAACAACUGGAAACGGUUGCUAAUACCCCAUAUGCUUUCGAGUGAAAUGGAUUUUUCCGCCUAGAGAGAAGCUUGCGGCUGAUUAGCUUGUUGGUGAGGUAAUGGCUUACCAAGGCGACGAUCAGUAUCUGGUUUGAGAGGACGAUCAGACACACUGGAACUGAGACACGGUCCAGACUCCUACGGGAGGCAGCAGUAGGGAAUUUUCCGCAAUGGGCGAAAGCCUGACGGAGCAAUCUCGCGUGAGGGAUGACGGCCUAUGGGUUGUAAACCUCUUUUUUCAGGGAGGAAUAAAAUGACGUGUACCUGAAGAAUAAGCAUCGGCUAACUCCGUGCCAGCAGCCGCGGUAAGACGGAGGAUGCAAGUGUUAUCCGGAAUCACUGGGCGUAAAGCGUCUGUAGGUGGUUUAGUAAGUCAACUGUUAAAUCUUGAAGCUCAACUUCAAAAUCGCAGUCGAAACUAUUAGACUAGAGUAUAGUAGGGGUAAAGGGAAUUUCCAGUGGAGCGGUGAAAUGCGUAGAGAUUGGAAAGAACACCGAUGGCGA